GGGGGUGUAGCUCAAUUGGUAGAGCACCUGCUUUGCAAGCAGGGGGUCGUCGGUUCGAUUCCGAUCACCUCCACCA
RNAcentral lists this transfer RNA (76 nucleotides) under Burkholderiales bacterium. Its description in RNAcentral is "tRNA-Ala". It matches the Rfam family "tRNA". From Rfam's summary of the family: Transfer RNA (tRNA) molecules are approximately 80 nucleotides in length. Their secondary structure includes four short double-helical elements and three loops (D, anti-codon, and T loops). The record is from RNAcentral. Lineage: Bacteria; Pseudomonadati; Pseudomonadota; Betaproteobacteria; Burkholderiales. RNAcentral also lists the same sequence under 3 other names.